AUUGAACGCUGGCGGCAGGCUUAACACAUGCAAGUCGAGCGAGCGGCGGACGGGUGAGUAAUGUCUGGGAAACUGCCUGAUGGAGGGGGAUAAAUACUGGAAACGGUAGCUAAUACCGCAUACCCUCAGAUGUGCCCAGAUGGGAUUAGCUAGUAGGUGGGGUAAUGGCUCACCUGGGCGACGAUCCCUAGCUGGUCUGAGAGGAUGACCGGCCACACGGGAACGGAGAACGGGUCCAGACUCCUACGGGAGGCAGCAGUGGGGAAUAUUGCACAAUGGGGGCAAUCCGGAUGCAGCAAUGCCGCGUGUGUGAAGAAGGCCUUCGGGUUGUAAAGCACGUUCAGCGAGGAGGCGUUACUCGAAGAAGAAGCACCGGCUAACUCCGUGCCAGCCGCCGCGGUAAUAC
RNAcentral lists this ribosomal RNA (406 nucleotides) under uncultured bacterium. Its description in RNAcentral is "partial 16S ribosomal RNA". It matches the Rfam family "Bacterial small subunit ribosomal RNA", at positions 29 to 526 of the family's 1533-position model. The record is from RNAcentral.